ACCAGGAUGGCCGAGUGGUUAAGGCAUUAGACUUAAGAUCCAAUGGGCGUAUGCCCGCGUGGGUUCAAACCCCACUCCUGGUA
Molecule: non-coding RNA, 83 nt
Organism: Gymnothorax javanicus (giant moray)
Lineage: Eukaryota; Metazoa; Chordata; Actinopteri; Anguilliformes; Muraenidae
Source: the annotation of a GenBank genome assembly